This 447-nucleotide ribosomal RNA is filed under the name uncultured bacterium. Its description in RNAcentral is "partial 16S ribosomal RNA". It matches the Rfam family "Bacterial small subunit ribosomal RNA", at positions 29 to 523 of the family's 1533-position model. The record is from RNAcentral.
AACGAACGCUGGCGGCAGGCUUAACACAUGCAAGUCGAGCGCCCCGCAAGGGGAGCGGCAGACGGGUGAGUAACGCGUGGGAAUCUACCUUGAACUACGGGAUAGCUCCGGGAAACUGGAAUUAAUACCGUAUGUGCCCUUCGGGGGAAAGAUUGAUCGGUUCAGGAUGAGCCCGCGUCGGAUUAGCUAGUUGGUGGGGUAAAGGCCUACCAAGGCGACGAUCCGUAGCUGGUCUAAGAGGAUGAUCAGCCACAUUGGGACUGAGACACGGCCCAAACUCCUACGGGAGGCAGCAGUGGGGAAUAUUGGACAAUGGGCGCAAGCCUGAUCCAGCCAUGCCGCGUGAGUGAUGAAGGCCCUAGGGUUGUAAAGCUCUUUCACCAGGGACGAUAAUGACGGUACCCGGAGAAGAAGCCCCGGCUAACUUCGUGCCAGCCGCCGCGGUAA